UGGUGUUAUACACCACCGCACCCCUCCUUCUUUCUCUGUGGGUAUGGGCGUCGUUUUUAGACCAACCGGCUGCAACGCCUGUAUCAUGGAUCACAAUUUUUCAAAGUACCAAUACUUUAUCAGUUGCUCCAUAACCCUCCUCUACGUGGGGCUGAUUGCGGCGUCUUACUUCGACAUAUCGACAUGCCCGUACGUCUAUGACCGGCCAGCGUCCUUGGCGCCGCUGAGGCUGCCGGGCGCGAAGCAAGUCUGCGGUGAUGCGGCGGGCAUUCGUCGCUCCCUCUUCGCCUCCCUCGCCUUGGAGGGGGGUUUCUCGUGUCACAUGGUGGACAUCAUUGUCUGGGCCUACGUUGUCGGUCUUUUCGUCUUCAUGUCGUGCAAGUACAUCGCGUACCGUCUGCAAGGGCUUCACUACUUCUUUCUCGACUACUGCUACUUCCACAACUCCGUGCUGAUGUGCUUUCUGCUGUGGCGGCUCGUCGACAUCCAGUGGUCGGAGCAGCCCAUCAUCUCGUGGUCAGCACACACGCCUUUGUCGCGAUGGUUGCACGACUACGGCAGCAAUGCGUCCAACUUAGCGAUGAGCACCGCCGUUCACGCGGUGGAUAAUGAGACGUGGUGGCGCCCAAUCCUCACUGGAACGCCGAUCCGCAGGGAGUCCUGGGCUCGCCUCAUUGUUCCCCCAGCCGCUCGCAAUUACCGCUUUGAUGGCGUGUACCUGCCGAUCUCGUUCGAGAUCCUCACGUGCGGCUACGUGGUGGCCCAUCUGACGGAAGCCGAGGUCAUCUCAUCCUUCAUGUUCUUCUUCACGCUAUUGGCCGGCACCUUCGGCCCCAUACUCGGGGCGAUCCUCAUGUGGCGCAAUGCGCUCUUGUUCCACUCCUUCGAUCGCAUGUCGUCUUGCUACCUCCACCUGGCACCCGGCAUCGUGCAGAGCCUGCUGCUGCACCGCCUGUUCACAUCGGCGCGGCGUGAGAUCGAGAGCCUGGAUCCCGGGCGGCUCUACGAGAACGUCACCGGGAUCGCCAAGCAGCUCAACGUCUCCGUUGGCAGCCUGCUGCCGGGCGUGCACACGCUCAUGUACAACAUGAGUGACGUGUCAACAGCAGCGGCAGACAAUGUUACGAAGGUGGGCAGCACGCAUCGCGGCCCGGCGCGGCUGAUCUCGUCCGUCUAUUCGACCCUCACAGCGAAGCAGCAGCAACUGCGGUUCACUCAGUACGCUGCCACGCACCAGCUUGAGGCCCUCUGCGGCUACGGCACCCUCUGCUACGACCUGCGGCGCGCCGUCACCUACGGCAACCUGCUGCGGCUGCAUUUUAUCAUGUUUUGUGUCUGGCAGGUCUUCUACCACACCUUCAACGAGUGGCGCAGGCACGCGCGCGAGCAGUGGUGGAAGAAGCGCCUGGCGAAGCUCGAGAGGCAGCAAAGAGAAUUCGUGCAGCUCACCAGUGCCACGGAGACGGGCGCGGAGCCGCUGCACUCGGCUGCCGUGAUGAGCGAGGGUGGCGGCGGCAGCCCGGCCGAGCGCAUGACCUCGUAUAAAUGGAUGAUGGCGCACCCACCUGGUGGUCGCAAGGGUAUUCUCGCACGCUUUGUCCUGCUGUUUGGUGAGGGUCGUCUGCCCACCACGGUCAUGUUCCAAGUGGCGCAGUGGCUUCUCCACAUGUUCUUCUUCACCUGCAGCUACCCCUUCAUCCACUUUUGCUUCCACUACAUGCUGAGCGCGUGGCCGCUGAUGAUGUUGGUGCUGGCGUUUGCGCUCCUGUGCGUGUACAACGCAGCGUGCGUGAACCACAAGUGGAUCUCGAAGCUGCAGCAGACGGCGUCAAAAGGAAUGGAAGCGGGGUGGCAGGAACAGCCCACCAAGUCGAUGGCACAGGCCACCAAUACAGCAACAGCAAAGAAGGCGUGAUAGCGCGCGCGCCGCCGCCGUGAGAGAAGCGGUAUCCGUAUGUCUGCAUGUUUCUGUGGCCGCCCCCACCCCAUGUGCAUGUAAGCACUUGGGAUUUACUGUCCCCCUUCUAUUGUCGCGUUUUCCUCAAGGGAUAGCGUGUUUCUCUCAGCAGUGAAUGGAGUUUGCUGAGGUGCUCCGGGAGCGGCGCCGCGUCUGCCGCACUGACGGCGGCAGGCACACGUCAUUCAAGGGGCAGUAGACACAUCUUACAAGAUGAACACAAAACGGAUAGACAAGGAGAGAACGGAUCACCCGCCAAAACGCACCAGCACGAAAGGUCCGUGUGUCCGCAGAACGUGUGGUACCCCCACGUUUGCAGAUGAAGACCGCAGCUUUGGGCAACAGCUCCUCACUUCUUUUCAGCCUCCCCAAUACGCCUUGCCUCUUCCCUCUCCACGUGCGCCCGCACUAG
Molecule: unclassified non-coding RNA, 2369 nt
Filed under: Leishmania donovani
Lineage: Eukaryota; Euglenozoa; Kinetoplastea; Trypanosomatida; Trypanosomatidae
Description: gene:LdHU3.35.1060(CDS-product:Protein_of_unknown _function_(DUF2838)_putative)
Source: RNAcentral